AGCAUACUCCCUCCAUCCGAAAAAGCUUGUCCCUCAAAUGGAUGUAUCUAGCACCAAGUUAGUGCUAGAUACAUCCAUUUGAGGGACAAGCUUGGGACAAGUUUUUCGGAUGGAGUGAGUACAAU
This is a non-coding RNA of Triticum aestivum (bread wheat), 125 nucleotides long. The record is from Rfam. NCBI's taxonomy places the organism in Eukaryota, Viridiplantae, Streptophyta, Magnoliopsida, Poales, Poaceae.